UGUUAAGCCUGACAGAAGCGAUAUCCUUUUUGGUAUUGAAGCCUUCGCUACCGGUUACGAACCCAAAAAGAUUUAGCAAAUGGCAGGACCACUU
Molecule: small RNA, 94 nt
Filed under: Pedobacter sp. Leaf194
Lineage: Bacteria; Pseudomonadati; Bacteroidota; Sphingobacteriia; Sphingobacteriales; Sphingobacteriaceae
Description: Flavo-1 RNA
Rfam family: Flavo-1 RNA
Source: Rfam by way of RNAcentral